AGGGAAUAUUGCGCAAUGGAGGAAACUCUGACGCAGCGACGCCGCGUGAGCGAUGAAGGCCUUCGGGUCGUAAAGCUCUGUCCUCAGGGAAGAAAACGAUGACGGUACCUGAGGAGGAAGCCCCGGCUAACUACGUGCCAGCAGCCGCGGUAAUACGUAGGGGGCAAGCGUUGUCCGGAAUUAUUGGGCGUAAAGGGUGCGUAGGCGGCUUAUUAAGUCUGAUGUGAAAGACCACGGCUUACCCGUGGGGUUGCAUUGGAAACUGGUGAGCUUGAGUGUCGGAGAGGACAGUGGAAUUCCUAGUGUAGCGGUGAAAUGCGUAGAUAUUAGGAGGAACACCAGUGGCGAAGGCGACUGUCUGGACGACAACUGACGCUGAGGCACGAAAGCUAGGGGAGCGAAC
RNAcentral lists this ribosomal RNA (403 nucleotides) under uncultured bacterium. Its description in RNAcentral is "bacterial SSU rRNA". It matches the Rfam family "Bacterial small subunit ribosomal RNA", at positions 356 to 773 of the family's 1533-position model. The record is from RNAcentral.